GUUCCUUCUCUUUCCAAAUACUAUGCAGAAACUCUGGAAAUCUUGUUAGUUCUGAUGUCAGCUCAGCACUCAGAUGUCAGGAAGAAAGGACUUCUUCAUUUUCUGAGUGCUGUACAACACAGAGUAAGAAACAAUCCCUUUCCCAAUCUAAAUAGACAAGAAGUGAGAUGUGAAACAGAGGCACAGAGAGGUGAGACAAGUCAUCCAAGGUCAGCCAGAAGGAUGAGCUCUAAUUCCUGCUGAUGGAUGCAAGUGAUAUUCUGAGAGGACAUCAACCAUAUGUACUUUGUUACAACGCCAUCCCAG
Long non-coding RNA from Mauremys mutica (yellowpond turtle), 306 nucleotides. RefSeq lists it as uncharacterized. NCBI's taxonomy places the organism in Eukaryota, Metazoa, Chordata, Testudines, Geoemydidae. The record is from RefSeq and is a predicted model, not a curated record. The transcript is spliced from 3 exons.